RNAcentral lists this ribosomal RNA (433 nucleotides) under uncultured bacterium. RNAcentral's name for it is "partial 16S ribosomal RNA". It matches the Rfam family "Bacterial small subunit ribosomal RNA", at positions 29 to 507 of the family's 1533-position model. The record is from RNAcentral.
AACGAACGCUGGCGGCAUGCCUAACACAUGCAAGUCGAACGAGACCUUCGGGUCUAGUGGCGCACGGGUGCGUAACGCGUGGGAACCUGCCCUUAGGUUCGGAAUAACUCCCCGAAAGGGGUGCUAAUACCGGAUAAUUUCUUCGGACCAAAGAUUUAUCGCCUUUGGAUGGGCCCGCGUUGGAUUAGCUAGUUGGUAGGGUAAAAGCCUACCAAGGCGACGAUCCAUAGCUGGUCUGAGAGGAUGAUCAGCCACACUGGGACUGAGACACGGCCCAGACUCCUACGGGAGGAAGCAGUGGGGAAUAUUGGACAAUGGGCGAAAGCCUGAUCCAGCAAUGCCGCGUGAGUGAUGAAGGCCUUAGGGUUGUAAAGCUCUUUUACCCGGGAUGAUAAUGACAGUACCGGGAGAAUAAGCGCCGGCUAACUCCGUG